This 331-nucleotide unclassified non-coding RNA is filed under the name soil metagenome. RNAcentral's name for it is "partial contains 5.8S ribosomal RNA, internal transcribed spacer 2, and large subunit ribosomal RNA". The stretch from base 1 to 120 matches the Rfam family "5.8S ribosomal RNA", at positions 35 to 154 of the family's 154-position model. The record is from RNAcentral.
GAUGAAGAACGUAGCGAAAUGCGAUAAGUAAUGUGAAUUGCAGAAUUCAGUGAAUCAUCGAAUCUUUGAACGCACAUUGCGCCCCCUGGUAUUCCGGGGGGCAUGCCUGUUCGAGCGUCAUUUCACCACUCAAGCCUCGCUUGGUAUUGGGCAACGCGGUCCGCCGCGUGCCUCAAAUCGACCGGCUGGGUCUUCUGUCCCCUAAGCGUUGUGGAAACUAUUCGCUAAAGGGUGUUCGGGAGGCUACGCCGUAAAACAACCCCAUUUCUAAGGUUGACCUCGAAUCAGGUAGGGAUACCCGCUGAACUUAAGCAUAUCAAUAAGCGGAGGA